This 437-nucleotide long non-coding RNA is filed under the name Pongo abelii (Sumatran orangutan). Its description in RNAcentral is "lincRNA". Lineage: Eukaryota; Metazoa; Chordata; Mammalia; Primates; Hominidae. The record is from RNAcentral.
AGGGGCAGCCCGAUCACCCCCAAACCUCCUCAGCAUCCCCACAUGGCCCCAACCUGCCAGCCUUCACCAGGCUCUUAACAAGAGGCCAGUUCUCAACCAGCCUCUCUCCUGUCCUUGAGCGGCAAGUGGGCAGCUGAGCAGAACUGUAGAAGCAGUUUGUGAACUACCUUUGGAGCCCAUAAAGUGGAGAUGAGCCCCAUGCAUGUCACUGAACUCACAACAUGGGAGCCUGGGUUAUAGAUCCACAGAAUAACCAAGACCAGCGUGGCAGGGGCCUCCAGGGGCCAAAACCUCCAGGAGAGAAGUCAGUAAAUGUUAUAGAAAGCACAGCCUGUAUCGGGAAUGGAGAUGAAAUAUUUCUUUGUUAGACAUGCCAUCAAACAGUCCCGAAGGUGAGGAAGAACACUGGUUUAUUUUCAAAUAAAUGCUCACUUGGA